UACGUAGGGUGCGAGCGUUAAUCGGAAUUACUGGGCGUAAAGCGUGCGCAGGCGGUUUUGUAAGGCAGAUGUGAAAUCCCCGGGCUCAACCUGGGAAUGGCAUUUGGGACUGCAAAGCUGGAGUGCGGCAGAGGGGACUGGAAUUCCUGGUGUAGCGGUGAAAUGCGCAGAUAUCAGGAGGAACACCAAUGGCGAAGGCAGCUCGCUGGGACGGUACUGACGCUGAGACGCGAAAGCGUGGGGAGCAAACAGG
This 253-nucleotide ribosomal RNA is filed under the name uncultured prokaryote. RNAcentral describes it as "partial 16S ribosomal RNA". It matches the Rfam family "Bacterial small subunit ribosomal RNA", at positions 524 to 776 of the family's 1533-position model. The record is from RNAcentral.